UACAGAGACUGCGAGCGUUAUUCGGAUUCACUGGGCGUAAAGGGUGCGCAGGCGGCCAAGUGUGUGAGGCGUGAAAGCCCGGGGCUUAACCCCGGAAUUGCACCUCAAACUACAUGGCUAGAGCAUUGGAGAGGGAAGCGGAAUUCACGGUGUAGCAGUGAAAUUCGUAGAUAUCGGGAGGAACACCAGUGGCGAAGGCGGUUCUCUGGGCCUGACCUGACGCUGAGGAGCGAAAGCGUGGGGAGCGAACAGG
Molecule: ribosomal RNA, 253 nt
Filed under: uncultured bacterium
Lineage: Bacteria
Description: partial 16S ribosomal RNA
Rfam family: Bacterial small subunit ribosomal RNA
Source: RNAcentral